This 253-nucleotide ribosomal RNA is filed under the name uncultured prokaryote. RNAcentral's name for it is "partial 16S ribosomal RNA". It matches the Rfam family "Bacterial small subunit ribosomal RNA", at positions 355 to 600 of the family's 1533-position model. The record is from RNAcentral.
CUAAGAAUAUUCCGCAAUGGACGAAAGUCUGACGGAGCGACGCCGCGUGGAUGAAGAAGGCCGCAAGGUUGUAAAAUCCUUUUGCUGGGGAAGAAUAAGCGCAGGAGGGAAUGCCUGCGUGAUGACAUGAACCGGCGAAUAAGCCCCGGCCAACUACGUGCCAGCAGCCGCGGUAACAGGGAGGGGGCAAGCGUUGUGCGGAAUUACUGGGCGUAAAGGGCAUGUAGGCGGUUUAGUAAGCUUGGCGUGAAAG